Molecule: ribosomal RNA, 755 nt
Filed under: Enterococcus sp. MSW_137
Lineage: Bacteria; Bacillati; Bacillota; Bacilli; Lactobacillales; Enterococcaceae
Description: bacterial SSU rRNA
Rfam family: Bacterial small subunit ribosomal RNA
Source: RNAcentral
AGUCGAACGCUUUUUCUUUCACCGGAGCUUGCUCCACCGAAAGAAAAAGAGUGGCGAACGGGUGAGUAACACGUGGGUAACCUGCCCAUCAGAAGGGGAUAACACUUGGAAACAGGUGCUAAUACCGUAUAACACUAUUUUCCGCAUGGAAGAAAGUUGAAAGGCGCUUUUGCGUCACUGAUGGAUGGACCCGCGGUGCAUUAGCUAGUUGGUGAGGUAACGGCUCACCAAGGCAACGAUGCAUAGCCGACCUGAGAGGGUGAUCGGCCACGCUGGGACUGAGACACGGCCCAGACUCCUACGGGAGGCAGCAGUAGGGAAUCUUCGGCAAUGGACGAAAGUCUGACCGAGCAACGCCGCGUGAGUGAAGAAGGUUUUCGGAUCGUAAAACUCUGUUGUUAGAGAAGAACAAGGAUGAGAGUAAAAUGUUCAUCCCUUGACGGUAUCUAACCAGAAAGCCACGGCUAACUACGUGCCAGCAGCCGCGGUAAUACGUAGGUGGCAAGCGUUGUCCGGAUUUAUUGGGCGUAAAGCGAGCGCAGGCGGUUUCUUAAGUCUGAUGUGAAAGCCCCCGGCUCAACCGGGGAGGGUCAUUGGAAACUGGGAGACUUGAGUGCAGAAGAGGAGAGUGGAAUUCCAUGUGUAGCGGUGAAAUGCGUAGAUAUAUGGAGGAACACCAGUGGCGAAGGCGGCUCUCUGGUCUGUAACUGACGCUGAGGCUCGAAAGCGUGGGGAGCGAACAGGAUUAGAUACCC